CUCCAAAAUGUUGAGUUUAGUUCCCUGUUCUGUGAAUGAAACUUUGGGGCAUUGAAAUUGUGUAGGGGACAUGAUUGGGUGGAAGUAUUGCUCUAUUCAAUUACCUCCCAGCCUAUAGUA
This 120-nucleotide small nucleolar RNA is filed under the name Castor canadensis (American beaver). Lineage: Eukaryota; Metazoa; Chordata; Mammalia; Rodentia; Castoridae. The record is from RNAcentral.